This 25-nucleotide non-coding RNA is filed under the name Drosophila erecta. RNAcentral also lists the same sequence under 1 other name. The record is from RNAcentral. Lineage: Eukaryota; Metazoa; Arthropoda; Insecta; Diptera; Drosophilidae.
UCCUAUGAAACGUGGAGCAUCCAGA